RNAcentral lists this ribosomal RNA (501 nucleotides) under uncultured bacterium. RNAcentral's name for it is "bacterial SSU rRNA". It matches the Rfam family "Bacterial small subunit ribosomal RNA", at positions 15 to 507 of the family's 1533-position model. The record is from RNAcentral.
GAUCCUGGCUCAGGAUGAACGCUAGCUACAGGCUUAACACAUGCAAGUCGAGGGCAGCAUUACGGUAGCUUGCUACUGUAGAUGGCGACCGGCGCACGGGUGAGUAACGCGUAUCCAACCUGCCCAUGACUUGGGGAUAACCUUGCGAAAGCAAGCCUAAUACCCGAUACGCUUCAUAGAUGGCAUCUGAAAUGAAGUAAAGGUUUACGGUUAUGGAUGGGGAUGCGUCUGAUUAGCUUGUUGGCGGGGUAACGGCCCACCAAGGCAACGAUCAGUAGGGGUUCUGAGAGGAAGGUCCCCCACAUUGGAACUGAGACACGGUCCAAACUCCUACGGGAGGCAGCAGUGAGGAAUAUUGGUCAAUGGACGGAAGUCUGAACCAGCCAAGUAGCGUGCAGGAUGACGGCCCUAUGGGUUGUAAACUGCUUUUAUGCGGGGAUAAAGCGGGCGACGUGUCGCCCCUUGCAGGUACCGCAUGAAUAAGGACCGGCUAAUUCCGUG